UAUUGUUCGGCAAAUUUAUCUCUAUUGUUAUACUAUCCUGUCAAAUUGUAUAGAGUUGAAUCGUGUUGACUAGCAAAGCUAUCGAAAUCACAUGCAUCAACGGUCAUAGCAUUUAAUUACAAUGAAGCUGGAUAAGUAUAUAUUAUGGAUACACAGUGUAGUUAACAAAGUAGAUUAAUGGUUUGAGUUCCAGCAAAAAUAUGUUGUAGCAUACUUAUGUAUCAUGAAGCCUUGGGUAUAGGUGAUUCAUCUGUCCGUCAAGUUUUGAUGGACAAAGUUACCUAAUAUUUAUGUUGGUAGCAAAUAACAGGCAUAUGAUGAAAUGGUUAAGAUGUGAAUAAGUGACCCUACAUCAUUGUUAAUAUUUUAAAAAUAUUAACACAUUAUAGCCUAUUAUCAUGUCUUACUAUUCGGUUAAUA
Molecule: long non-coding RNA, 420 nt
Filed under: Nicotiana benthamiana
Lineage: Eukaryota; Viridiplantae; Streptophyta; Magnoliopsida; Solanales; Solanaceae
Description: long non-coding RNA (NBEN_LNC010934)
Source: RNAcentral